Molecule: long non-coding RNA, 374 nt
Organism: Lolium rigidum
Lineage: Eukaryota; Viridiplantae; Streptophyta; Magnoliopsida; Poales; Poaceae
Exons: 2
Source: RefSeq, a predicted model, not a curated record
AGUGCUUUCCAGGAAAGAAUUGUCCAAAGUCGCGAGGCUGGGUUUAGAGUCAGAAACUGAACCUGGAGGAACAACGGUUCUAAAUGGUGCGUGAGGAAGAGGAGGCUAGAAAAGAUGAAGUUAGAAGAAAUACAAGGAAGCAACAGCUCACUGAAGUAGACCCGAGGAAGCUACUUCAGGAUAAAAAGGUGCAAGAGUGAAGACGCAGACAUGGUGCAAGGGUCCAGUUGUUUGUUUUUCCUUUCAUGGACAAACUUUGGUGUCGUGGUCUGUAUUUGAAAGUUUAAUAUUCAUAUUUCUUCUAACAAUUAUUGAACUCUCGACAUAUCUGUAUUGACCUUUUUAUGAAUGAGUAUUCAGCCAUCUUUUGUUCA